AUUGAACGCUGGCGGCAGGCCUAACACAUGCAAGUCGACCGAGUGGCGGACGGGUGAGUAAUGUCUGGGAAGCUGCCCGCUGGAGGGGGAUAACUACUGGAAACGGUAGCUCAUACCGCAUACCAUCGGAUGUGCCCAGAUGGGAUUAGCUAGUAGGGGUGGUAACGGCUCACCUAGGCGACGAUCCCUAGCUGGUCGGAGAGGAUGACCAGCCACACGUGAACUGAGCCACGGUCCAGACUCCGACGGGAGGCAGCAGUGGGGAAUAUUGCACAAUGGGCGCAAGCCUGAUGCAGCCAUGCCGCGUGUAUGAAGAAGGCCUUCGGGUUGUAAAGUACUUUCAGCGAGGAGGCGUUACUCGCAGAAGAAGCACCGGCUAACUCCGUGCCAGCAGCCGCGGUAAUUC
This 406-nucleotide ribosomal RNA is filed under the name uncultured bacterium. Its description in RNAcentral is "partial 16S ribosomal RNA". It matches the Rfam family "Bacterial small subunit ribosomal RNA", at positions 30 to 526 of the family's 1533-position model. The record is from RNAcentral.